GACGAACGCUGGCGGCGUGCUUAACACAUGCAAGUCGAACGGAAAGGCCCUGCUUUUGUGGGGUGCUCGAGUGGCGAACGGGUGAGUAACACGUGAGUAACCUGCCCUUGACUUUGGGAUAACUUCAGGAAACUGGGGCUAAUACCGGAUAGGAGCUCCUGCUGCAUGGUGGGGGUUGGAAAGUUUCGGCGGUUGGGGAUGGACUCGCGGCUUAUCAGCGUGUUGGUGGGGUAGUGGCUUACCAAGGCUUUGACGGGUAGCCGGCCUGAGAGGGUGACCGGCCACAUUGGGACUGAGAUACGGCCCAGACUGCUACGGGAGGCAGCAGUGGGGAAUAUUGCACAAUGGGCGGAAGCCUGAUGCAGCAACGCCGCGUGCGGGAUGACGGCUGUCGGGUUGUAAACCGCUUUCGCCUGUGACGAAGCGUGAGUGACGGUAAUGGGUAAAGAAGCACCGGCUAACUACGUG
Molecule: ribosomal RNA, 468 nt
Filed under: uncultured bacterium
Lineage: Bacteria
Description: partial 16S ribosomal RNA
Rfam family: Bacterial small subunit ribosomal RNA
Source: RNAcentral